GAACGGGUGAGUAACACGUGGGGAAUCUGCCUAUAAGUGGGGGAUAACAUUCGGAAACGGAUGCUAAUACCGCAUAUAUUCAAAAACCGCAUGGUUUCUGAAAGAAAGACGGCUUUGCUGUCGCUUAUAGAUGAUCCCGCGGCGUAUUAGUUAGUUGGUGGGGUAAUGGCCUACCAAGACCAUGAUACGUAGCCGACCUGAGAGGGUGAUCGGCCACACUGGGACUGAGACACGGCCCAGACUCCUACGGGAGGCAGCAGUAGGGAAUCUUCCACAAUGGGUGCAAACCUGAUGGAGCAAUGCCGCGUGAAUGAAGAAGGUCUUCGGAUCGUAAAGUUCUGUUAUUAGAGAAGAACAAGUCAAGGAGUAACUGCCUUGACUUUGACGGUACCUAACCAGAAAGUCACGGCUAACUACGUGCCAGCAGCCGCGGUAAUACGUAGGUGACAAGCGUUGUCCGGAAUUAUUGGGCGUAAAG
Molecule: ribosomal RNA, 478 nt
Filed under: uncultured bacterium
Lineage: Bacteria
Description: bacterial SSU rRNA
Rfam family: Bacterial small subunit ribosomal RNA
Source: RNAcentral